Mugil cephalus (flathead mullet) is the source of this 972-nucleotide long non-coding RNA. RefSeq lists it as uncharacterized. The transcript has 3 exons. Lineage: Eukaryota; Metazoa; Chordata; Actinopteri; Mugiliformes; Mugilidae. The record is from RefSeq and is a predicted model, not a curated record.
GGAGCCAAUUAUGAUGGGGUCGUGGAUAAAAGAGCGGCCCCUCCUACGCCUCCUCCCUCUGUCUCCCGCUGGCGUAAUUUCCGGGACGUCCUGUGUGGCUGCAACAGGGGCUGUGGGUGGAUUCUGGCUCCAUGUGGUCUCCUUGUCUGGUAAAUGCUGGUAGCGGCUCGCUGCUCUUGCCUCGUCUCACUGGUUGCAUGAACAGGUGCUGUACCAUAAGGUAUGUAGUUCAUUCUUUCUGAGUCUAACCUGUCCUGUGGGGGGAGCGAUCGGGUAUUUAAUUUCCUUUUUGUUUAAGUAGGAUCAAGUCCAUCACCUCCAUUGGCUCCCUUCCGUCUGCAUGACCUCUGCUGCUUUGUCCUGCUUCAAGUUCCUGUCCGUCCGUGCAGCUGUUUCCCGGCUCGGGUUUGGCUGGCUCCGGCGUGCUGCGGUGCUUUGCUGCCGUCCGUCCUAUUGCGCUGGUCGCCCACCUGUGGUUGGGUCGUUCGCCUUCGCCGCGGCUCGUAGCAGCCCGUUCUCGGCUGCCAGCGUCCGCUCUUUUUUUUAGUGAGGGUUUCGUGACCCCUUUUAUCUGGUUCACACUUUCGGAUUUCGUUUUUCAUUCAAUUCCGAUUGUGUUCAAUUGAUGCUGGCGAUUUGAUUUGUAUUAGCAGUUUUAUCAUUUCAUCUGGUGAUAUUUUAACUUUGUAUAUUUGCUGAUUAUAUUUGGUGCUUUUCUUUUUGUUUCAGGGGCUGACGGCCUGUAGUGGUGUGGGUGAUCGUAGGAGAUUCUCCUGUCUGCUGUGCCGUUUCCAGGGAUGUGGGUCGUUCACGGGUGUGCUCUUUUCACGUGUGUCUGGGGGAACUUUUACUUUGGGGACCCCUCCUUUCGCUUGCCCUAGCUACUUUUAGGCCGAAGCCCUUGAUUAACUUUUGUUUUUGCAUUUUCUUUUGUUUGGAUCCUUUGUAUUAAUAAAAUAUUAUUGUGACUAA